GUCAGUUCUCUAGAUAACACAAUACAAUGUGACUGAUAACAUGCUGGGCUCCCAUCAGCAAGUCGCUGAUGCUGUCGCCAUCACAGAGUCCUAUAUCACCUCACCACUACAACAGUCUCCAUCACAGAGUCCUAUAUCACCUCACCACUACAACAGUCUCCAUCACAGAGUCCUAUAUCACCUCACCACUACAACAGUCUCCAUCACAGAGUCCUAUAUCACCUCACCACUACAACAGUCUCCAUCACACUGUCCUAUAUCACCUCACCACUACAACAGUCUCCAUCACACUGUCCUAUAUCACCUCACCACUACAACAGUCUCAUCACACUGUCCUAUAUCACCUCACCACUACAACAGUCUCCAUCACAGAGUCCUAUAUCACCUCACCACUACAACAGUCUCCAUCACAGAGUCCUAUAUCACCUCACCACUACAACAGUCUCCAUCACACUGUCCUAUAUCACCUCACCACUACAACAGUCUCCAUCACACUGUCCUAUAUCACCUCACCACUACAACAGUCUCAUCACACUGUCCUAUAUCACCUCACCACUACAACAGUCUCCAUCACAGAGUCCUAUAUCACCUCACCACUACAACAGUCUCCAUCACAGAGUCCUAUAUCACCUCACCACUACAACAGUCUCCAUCACAGAGUCCUAUAUCACCUCACCACUACAACAGUCUCCAUCACAGAGUCCUAUAUCACCUCACCACUACAACAGUCUCAUCACACUGUCCUAUAUCACCUCACCACUACAAGGAGUCUCCAUCACAGAGUCCUAUAUCACCUCACCACUACAACAGUCUCCAUCACAGAGUCCUAUAUCACCUCACCACUACAACAGUCUCAUCACAGAGUCCUAUAUCACCUCACCACUACAACAGUCUCCAUCACAGAGUCCUAUAUCACCUCACCACUACAACAGUCUCCAUCACAGAGUCCUAUAUCACCUCACCACUACAACAGUCUCAUCACAGAGUCCUAUAUCACCUCACCACUACAACAGUCUCCAUCACAGAGUCCUAUAUCACCUCACCACUACAACAGUCUCCAUCACAGAGUCCUAUAUCACCUCACCACUACAACAGUCUCCAUCACAGAGUCCUAUAUCACCUCACCACUACAACAGUCUCCAUCACAGAGUCCUAUGUGUGUGUGUGUGUGUGUGUGUGUGUGUGUGUGUGUGUGUGUGUGUGUGUGUGUGUGUGUGUGUGUGUGUGUGUGUGUGUGUGUGUGUGUGUGUGUGUGUGUGUG
RNAcentral lists this long non-coding RNA (1261 nucleotides) under Salmo trutta (river trout). Its description in RNAcentral is "lncRNA (ENSSTUG00000024285.1)". The record is from RNAcentral. Lineage: Eukaryota; Metazoa; Chordata; Actinopteri; Salmoniformes; Salmonidae.